UCGAAUGAGUCAUUUGCGGAGAGUUUCAAAUGAGUAUCUGAAACAAAGACCAGGAAAGGAUUGGCCCUGAUCGAUAUUGUAAGGGAAGUGACAAUGUUUGUUUUUAAGAUUAAAAUGCCCUCAGAUGUUCGAGUUCAGUUAAUCAAUGACUUGGCAGACAUAGAGUA
Long non-coding RNA from Gossypium arboreum, 167 nucleotides. RefSeq lists it as uncharacterized. The record is from RefSeq and is a predicted model, not a curated record. NCBI's taxonomy places the organism in Eukaryota, Viridiplantae, Streptophyta, Magnoliopsida, Malvales, Malvaceae. The transcript has 3 exons.